This 397-nucleotide long non-coding RNA is filed under the name Chlamydomonas reinhardtii. Its description in RNAcentral is "long non-coding RNA (CREI_LNC000995)". Lineage: Eukaryota; Viridiplantae; Chlorophyta; Chlorophyceae; Chlamydomonadales; Chlamydomonadaceae. The record is from RNAcentral.
GAUCACCCAAAAAAACGCUCACGUCGUGUAGCUCUAGGACUCCCUCCGACACGGCCCUCACGCGCAAUUUUGUUAAGAGAGCACGACUUUCCUCUACUGCGCAGGCCAAGGCCCUGGGCCAGCUGACGCCGCCGGAGAUCGUCAAGGUGGUCGGACGCCAAAUUAUCGACUCGCGCGGCAACCCCACUGUUGAGGCCGAUGUGUACACCCGCAAGGGCAUGUUCCGUGCUGCCGUGCCCUCCGGUGCCUCGACCGGUGUGCACGAGGCUGUGGAGCUGCGCGACGGCGACAAGUCCAAGUGAGUCGCCUGAAACCUCGAUUUUGGGGAAGAUACCCUUAACUGCUUCUCGUUGUUUCCAGGUACCUGGGCAAGGGUGUGACCAAGGCUGUUGAGAAC